AUUGCUCUCACGCUGCCUGUAGAGCCUGGUCAAAUGAUUCCGCUGGAAUAUUAAAGGUCAAUGCUUUUUUGGGGCCCACUUGAUACUACUUACUGAAAUCCCUUCAGAGAGUGGCUCCCUUGCCAUUGAGAUGGAAGGUUUGAAGAGCUGUGUGAAGGUAAACUUACAUGACCAAAUGAUGCCCUCUGGGGCUGUGUUAUGGCUCUUGCAAGAAAGCACUGAAGCAAAAUACUGAUAUUUUCUCAGCAGAGGACCCCUUGCUGAAUGGAGAUGCAGGGAGAAGCGCUGGAA
Molecule: long non-coding RNA, 291 nt
Organism: Nothoprocta perdicaria
Lineage: Eukaryota; Metazoa; Chordata; Aves; Tinamiformes; Tinamidae
Exons: 3
Source: RefSeq, a predicted model, not a curated record